UCGUGCAGGAGCAGUGGCUCAGAAAAUCUUUCUUUUCACUUGUAUUAUAGGAUUUUUUUUUAAAGCAGCAGCAGCUUUACCUUCCAAGAAGCCUGUGGCUUAGCCUAAUAUUUACAUGUAUUUGCAUUUCCUUUGUACACAUGGAUGGGGAAAGAAAGGGUGGGGAAGGGAAUUUGGCUGGGAAUGAAAAUUCGCUCUUAGCCAAUCCUCAAAGUGCUAUUGCAAUUGCCAAUUUAAAAUCAAGAUGCAACUUGUUUAGCUAAAAUUCAGAUAAUUUCCAUCACUCCCACCCUGACUCUUCAUCCCCUGCAAACUUGCAGCUCCUUAGCUGGCCUGUGCAUCACUCCCAGUCAUAUAUGAGGGAGCUAUAUUUGGUGUUAUUCUUAGACACACUGGAAAUUUUCUAAUUCUGCAGGUUUGGGUCAUUUUCAGAGAGCUCUGUGGGCACCCUCUGGUGGCUGACUGAAAAUUUUACCUGCAAAAAUUGCAGUGGAACUGAGAUGGCUUUAUUUGGCAGUCGGGCUUUGCAGUUGGACGGUAAACAUUGAGCAGCCAUUCCUUAGAAUCAUCCUGAUCUGCGGGAAAGAGCACCGAUGGAAGAGCGGAGGAGGCAGGAAGAAAAACUCUCUCCACCUGAGGAUGCCGCCCCAAGCCCUACAAUCAGAGAAUCUGAAGCGCAUGGCUGCUCUGUCAGCACAGUAAAUACCCACACCUGAUUUUCCUUGGCUCUUUCUCCAGGGAUUUUAUUCGUCUCGGGAUACCCCCUCAAAGUCCGCUCAGGUGGCCUUUAUUCUGCAAAGAGUGAAGAACUAAUGUGAUGUCACCCAACCUGCUGGGGGCGGGGGAGAUUCAAGACUGGAGUUUUCUCACCUGCCCAUUGAUGCUGGGGAAUACUUACCUGCAGCCCCUGUGGUCACCCCUACCCUGCACUCUAUCAGAGCAAACUACUCUUGACCAGCAAAUCAUGAUGAGACGUCUAAAGGGCAAGGUCUUAAGGAAGGGUAUACUUGAGGGUCAGGAGAGUAGCCAUGUCACAAGUGGGUUCCAGAAGCUGGCAAGAGAACCCAGUACUCAGAUUCCAGGUUCCCUCCAUAGGCUUCAUUUGGCCCAAACACUAACGUUUACCUGGAAUCAAAGAGGCGCUGUCUACUGGGAGCAGCCUUCUUUAUUGCUACCAUUUUUCAUUUGCUUUUGUUCACAACCAGGCCCCAGGGCAGAAGGGAAGGCUGGUGAGCCAUCAGUCACCCCACACUCACGGGGGCAGCCCCAUUCUGCCCCGCUGGGUCUGAGAGCACCACUGAAGCAGACAGUAUUUUUGGUGUGCAGCCCAGAAGCUAAGAUGUAACUGGAGCAGAGCGAGAAAAAAAACUUUAAAAACCAGUGUGACCACACCUGUGGGAAUAGACAGAUCAACUACGUUCAGAGCCAUUAGCCUGGAGGCAGGGCAGUCUGGGAGCUCCUGUUGAAUGUGAGCUGAGCUCAUGGGUUUCUCUCUCUAGCCUGUGCUUCCAGCAGAAUGCAAAGACUAUGGCAAGGUUGCUAUGUGUCAAGCCCGCGGAAUGGAGUGGACAGCGUGCUCACUGCAGCCAAAGACGCGGUGCAGCCGCCACCUACCCCAAACCCUUCAUGCAUCAGCCCUGGUGACAAUCAAAUGAAGGAGGUGCUGCUGCUGCU
This is a long non-coding RNA of Bubalus bubalis (water buffalo), 1674 nucleotides long. RefSeq lists it as uncharacterized. Lineage: Eukaryota; Metazoa; Chordata; Mammalia; Artiodactyla; Bovidae. The transcript has 2 exons. The record is from RefSeq and is a predicted model, not a curated record.